AGAGAUGGUAAUUUGCCAAUUACAGUUUUGUUCUAGUAUUGGAAUGAGCUUAAAGGGCCAGUCACAAAUUCCUCUUUUGAAAACUUUCCAAAAACAAAACCCAUUUAGUGACUAUUUUCUCUUCUUUCUGCAGUGCAUGCUGUGGAAAUUCAUGAUCUGCAGAGCUUUGGACUAGACAACAUCAACAUGACGCAUUUCAUCAAACAUCUUUCAUUCGGCAAAGACUACCCUGGAAUUAUCAAUCCUUUAGAUGGUACUAAUGUAGCAGCACCUCAAGGUAAGGGUAUGUCAUUACUUUAAAGUAAAAAUCAGCAUGAAUGGCUGAGAACAUAAUUUCCAGAAUUAAAGAGCCCUUUAUCUUCUCCGUGGUCAUUUCAUUGUCAGCCCUCCACAGUCAGCAGAAAGGUCAC
This is a long non-coding RNA of Sinocyclocheilus grahami, 410 nucleotides long. RefSeq lists it as uncharacterized. NCBI's taxonomy places the organism in Eukaryota, Metazoa, Chordata, Actinopteri, Cypriniformes, Cyprinidae. The transcript is spliced from 3 exons. The record is from RefSeq and is a predicted model, not a curated record.